AACAUCCCAUCACAUCUUUAUUUAACAAUCCUCAAAAUAGCAUUAACUAAAUGCAAACCCUGUGCUGGAGAGAGACACAAAGAUGAAAGCAUUCUGUAGGGUGUCUGGGUGGCUCGGUUGGUUAAGCAACUGCCUUUGGCUCACAUUGUGAUCCUGGAGUCACAGGAUUGAGUCCUACAUUGGGCUCCCUGCUCAGCAGAGAGUCUCCUUCUCCUUUUACCCUCCCUUUUCUCAUGUUCUCUCUCUCUCUCAAAUAAAUAAAUAAAAUCUUAAAAAAGAAAAGAAGAGGUUCUGUAAAGGGGCACAUGGUUGGCUUAGUAGAGCAUAUAACUCUUGAUCUUAGGGUUGUGAGCUGGAGUCCCAUGUUGGGUGUAGAGUUUACUUAAAAUAAGAUCUUAAAAAAAAAAAAAAAAGUUCUGUAGAGACAUAUGAUCACAGGGAGAGAGAAAGGCACACAAAAUAAUGGAAGAGAACCAAAGGAGUAAGCUGUAAGGACAAGAUGUCCAAACCCUGCAGCUAAGAGUAUAGAAGCCCUCUGAAAUGCUGGGCCCCAGCUGGGGUUGGAGGCUAAUGCAAGCUCACCAAGCCUAGGACAUCAGGUAUGGCUGGAUGGCCGUACCUGUGGUCAGAUACCCUGGGGAGUAUGGGUCUGUGUAGACACAGCAAGAGAGUUCCAGCCAUGGCCAUAUCUGGCUUUUCCUGUUUGCUGCAGGUGAGGUUGCCUGCCCUCUGUAACUGUUUCCUCAUCUCUUUCAAAAGUGAUAGGCUAUCACCACUCACAGUACCUCACACGGUUAUGAUGAUUCUUGAGGUAAUGCAUGUAAUUAAUUGCUUAACCAGAGCCUGGCUUAUGAAAGUGCUAUGUUAAUGCGGCUCAUAGGGAUGGUCUGAGUGACUACCUCAGGUUGAGAGGGUCACAAAGAUAAUGCAAUUCAUUGAAGAUGGUGCCUUAUGCAGAGUGAGCACUCAAGUGUUUGGUUUUUUUUUUUAACUUUUUAUUGAGACAAAAUUCACAUAAUAUAAAAUUCAUCAUUUAAUCAUUUUUUAAAAGAUUUUAUUUAUUUAUUUGACAGACAGAGAUCACAAGUAGGUAGAGAGGCAGGCAGAGAGAGAGGAGGAAGCAGGCUCCCCGCAGAGCAGAGAGCCCGAUGUGGGGCUCGAUUCCAGGACCCUGGGAUCAUGACCUGAGCCGAAGGCAGAGGCUUUAACCCACUGAGCCAUCCAGGCGCCCCUCAUUUAAUCAUUUUUAAAGUAUACAAUUAAAUGAUUUUUAGUACACUCAGCAAUGUUCUGCAACCAUCAUCACUAACUCUAAAACAUUCCCAACACGUUGAAAAGAAACUGCUUGUUAGCAGUCAAACCCAAAGCCACACACCUCACCUCCAGCCUCUGGCAAUUACCAAUCUGCUUUCUGUGUCUGUAAAUUUGCCUGUUCUGUGCAUAUCUUAUAAGUAAAAUAAUAUGUGACCUUUUGUGUCUGGCUUCUUUCGCUUAACAUAAUGUUUUGAAGGUUCAUCUGUAUUGCAGCAUGCAUUAGUACUUAACUUUAUGACAUUCCAUUGUGUGAACAGAGUACAUUUUGUUUAUCCAUUUAUCAGUUGAUGGGCAUUUCAAGUGUAUAUUAUUAAUAUUCCCGUUAUCAGUUCUGUAUUUCCAAGCCAUAUAUACUGCCUCUAUUUGGCCAAGACUCUUGGGGUUUCUACAACACCUAUGCAGGAGGCAGGGUCAGUUCCUUGGAUGAAAAGGAAAGACGUGGAGGCUGGCUCAAGAUCCUACUGCUUUCGGGAAAAACACAGGUUUAUUACUCGAGGUUCAGGGGCCACUGGGCCAUACUAAGAAACCCUGUCUUUCGCCAACCCAGGAAUUCUGCACGGCUGCGAUUGCCUCUUAGGACCCACGAAAGGAGCAGCACUAGGCGUUGGGAGAAGGAGGGCCGGGAGGGCCAGGAGAGCCCGCCCCCACAACCCUCUUGCUCCCGCGGACUUCGCGAGCGUGGCCGCGCUCAGCCAAUCAGUGGAGGGCGUCUGUAGUCCUGGCAACAGUAGCUUCUAAGCUUGCUACUUCAGAGUCUCUUGCAAAAUUUGGCAUUCCUGUUUUUUUGUACUCCGACGCAAGCAAGAAAGCAAGCGCGUGCACACACGCAUGCACACACACUCUUCAGCGCCCGCUUCUGACGCUGCGACCAUGAAUGACGAUUCCUAUGAAACGUAUGAGACUCUGUUCCUGUCGGUGGUCGGCUGGGGACCAGGGAUACAUGGGCUCUAGGACACAGCCCUUAACAUUGCAAAACUCACAGGCCAUUGGGAGAGAAAGACUCAGAAAGCAGCUUCAUCCAGAAAAAUAUGGGCUCUGCCAGUCUAAGACCUCAGAUGAUGAUGAAACCUCCAGCAAGGACCCCAUCUUCAAUCCUGAACCAGUCAUUGCCCACUGCUUCAAGCAGUUCAAGCAGAAGGCUUUCCACCAGCCUCAGAGCCGCCGGCGGAUCAUCACCUUGCCUCAAAACGAGGAUCCAAUACCCAUCAAUCUCACGGCCCAAGCCCAGACUCCCCCACAGCCAAUAUCCAGCUUCAAAGUCCUGGGAGCCGGGGAUAUCCUGGGGCAGCCAGACGAUGCAAAGACCUGGCUCAGCCAGAGACUGAAGCUUCGGCAGAACCUGGAGUCAUUCGGCGACACAGAGAAGUGGCUGCAGAACAAGCCUUGCCUCACCCCUUCAGAGGCCAAGGUCUUAAACAUGAUCCGAAAGGAGCAUGAAGCCCAUUUGCUGGCCUGUCUGACUCCUACCAGAGCCACCAAGAAGAGCCCCCGGCCUUCCCGCCGACCUGUGCCCCAGCUCCGACUGCCCAAGCCUUCUGCCUUGACCACCUUGUACUCGUACCUGCGCAGCCGCAAGAUGAAGAUCCUGGAGAUAUUCGGCAAGGUGGACUGGGGUGAGAACCAGAGGAUCUCUAGGGAGGAGUUCAUGGCAGCUCUGAAGGCGAUUGGAGUCCCUCUGAAAAACCAGGAGAUGGAGGAUGUUGUGAUCUAUCUCAGCUCUCUGGGAAAGUGCAACAACAUUACCACGGAUAUCCUAGCCAACACCUACAAGCAGUGGUCUUUGGGUGAGCAGAGAAGCACCCUGUCGACUGAGAGGGAGUAUUAUAGAUCCACCAAGCACAGAGGUUCCCUCCAGAGUGCAUCCAAGAACCAGGUGGAUUUGGCCCCACAGCCUUGCAAGAUGGACCUGCUGACUGUGCCCCUGGUUGACACCCACAUGGAGGCACGGCCCAUGACUCUGGAGGAGAUGGAGGACGUUGGCAAGCGGUACCGUGAGAGGAAGCGGCAGCACAAGCUCAAGAUCCCCUCCAUCCAGUACCUGGAGCGGUGCCGCCUGGUGCGCAGUGGGAAUAAGCACUUUGAUGAGCACUGUCUCCCGUCCACCCUGCACGGGGAGAUGAGGGAGCUCGUCGACAUGUCCCGCAGGGACAACUUUCUGGUCUACCUGCAGUGCCACAAGCUCUGUGAGUACUACGGCCUCCCGCUGACGGAGGACAUCCUCAUGAAAGCCCUGCUGUACCCAGGAGACAAGAUCAUUUUCCAGAAGGACCAGGUGCGCCCGAUCCGGCAGCCAGGAGGCUACUACUCAGACUUGAAGAUCUUCAGUCCAAAUCUGGCCCUGCUCAAGCUCCAGGGCUUCAGCGAGGCUCUGGCUAAGAAGGCUGACAAGCUGAGUGUCAGACCCCCUGUGUUCCCUGCCAUUUGCCUUCUGUCCUACUGCUGCUCCUUCAGUGCUGGGGAUAGGAUGGUGGCCUACCUAAGGUGUCAUGGUGCACCAGUGCCUGUGUCCAAGCAUGCCCAGCAUGUCCAACCCCACUGGUCACCAGGUGUCAUCCCUGGCACAUGUCUGAGGGCCGCAGCCUCCCUGCCUCACCCCCAUACAGCUACUCUCCCAACCACAUCCUACAUGAUCUCAAGCUUUCUGGGAAAGAUUAAAAAGAGGGACUUCUUCAAGAAAUGGGGAGGCUCCUUCACAAAUCAUGGGCGGGCCAUCAGGGGCCCUACAGAGGACAGGUGUGGCAGUCCCUUCUUUGUCCUGCCUUCUCUGGCAAGAGGUAGGCUUGCAGCCCUUAGGAGGAGGAAAGAAUUCUGCACUGGGGCCUGUCUCUGAGCCUCAGACCAACCUGAGUCCUCUCUAAGGAAAUGUCCUUCUUUGGAAGGAGGGGACCCGGGGGCAGGUGAUAAACCAGCAUGUGUUGAAGACUGCAGACUGGAGAACGAGCAGCAUCCCCGAGGCGGGAUGGGGCUAAUGUGGGAUGGAGAAGGGCCUGCUCCCCACCAGGAACGGCCUACAUUCUGGAUCCCUGCCAGCGGCCCACUGGAUGGUAUGGCCAGAACGGAUAGGAUGCAAGAGGAAAUUAGACACCCUACAUGUUAAGUGGGCAAGAUGCUUCACUGUCUGAGCCACAGCUUUUCAUCUGUUACAUAAGCAUUCCAGCUCCUGGGUGGCUGACUUCCAUUUCUGCACCAUGAACCUAAGGAGUGGGUGGGAACAUGAGAAACAGACUCUUAUCCAUGCUUAAGUAGGCCAUAGCCAUAAAGGAUAAAGAGAGGGCACCAAGGGCAGGGACGGAUAUGUGUUUUAUCUUGCUACCUGAAAUGUGUUGUCAAGGUUUUGGAGGCCAGAUGCAGGCCUGCUGGGAGAGAGUGCUGUCUGCGGUCGAUUAGUGAUGUCUGCCAAGUCUAUCCUUGGGGAGUUAGUUUUCACCACACUUGUUCCAAAAGCUGGAUUCAGCCUCAGCAGCAUCUCUCAGCUACCUCGGGAGGUCUCUGUUCUGGGUAAUAAGAAACAUAAGGCUUUGCAAAGGGAAGUGGCCUGCCCAGAGUCACCCAUCCAGCCAGGAUGUGAGCCCAGGCCUGGCUGACCAAGCCCAUUGUGGGUCCCACUGGAGCAUGGAGGGAGAGAGGCUGGGUCCCACCUCAGGAAGAAGAAACUCUGCUUUUGGAGCUCUGGUUUGGACUUACUGACAGGCCCACCUCCGUGUACUGAGGCCCCAUUAACUUGGAUUUCCCCUCUCCUGACAAGAGACCUUUCUCUCUUAUCCACUAGGAAAACACUGAAGAAAGUCAAGAAGAUACACUUUAAGGAGUUUGAGGAGUUCACCAGGAAGCUGCAAGUGAAGAGCCCCAGAGGUCGAAAGCGAACUCACCCCAAUUUCUUCUGGCCGGGGCACCUCCUGGACAAGCUGCAGCUCUACCU
RNA transcript from Mustela lutreola (European mink), 5233 nucleotides. It is a transcript of the gene named EF-hand calcium binding domain 12, with no coding region annotated. The record is from RefSeq and is a predicted model, not a curated record. NCBI's taxonomy places the organism in Eukaryota, Metazoa, Chordata, Mammalia, Carnivora, Mustelidae. The transcript has 9 exons.